This is a non-coding RNA of Petromyzon marinus (sea lamprey), 321 nucleotides long. The record is from RefSeq and is a predicted model, not a curated record. Lineage: Eukaryota; Metazoa; Chordata; Hyperoartia; Petromyzontiformes; Petromyzontidae.
UUACUAUUUGUUUCUCAAAGAAUGUAACGUUUUGCAAUCUUGAAGGGAAAUGCAUAAAAAUAAUAUUUAAGAAUCAUCUGAAUUUAAUGGACAUAGUGUACAAGGUUUAUGGAAAAUCCAAAUGUGAGAAUAUUAAAACCAAAAGGAAGGUAUCAGAAGCAAAGAUGAUAACGUCAGGAAAUCCACUCGUGGUAUCUGUACCAGAGAGCCAAACAGACCUGUAUUCUGAGACUUUAACAAGUGAUCCUAAAUGCACCACAGAUCAUAAUGACUGGAGCAAAAGUCUUUGGUCUCAAGUACAAACAAAAACUACAACCACAU